Molecule: long non-coding RNA, 2827 nt
Filed under: Nicotiana benthamiana
Lineage: Eukaryota; Viridiplantae; Streptophyta; Magnoliopsida; Solanales; Solanaceae
Description: long non-coding RNA (NBEN_LNC021809)
Source: RNAcentral
AAAAAUAAAAGCCACAAAACUCUCUAAGUAAAACGACGUUGCUCUGUCGAAAGUAUCGUUCGUCUCUUUCGAAAUAAUAAAACCCUUAAUCCCCAAAUCUCAUUAUGCAUUUCUUAAUCGGCUGCAUCCACGUCCUUCGAGUGUCGUAGCGAGUUUUUUUCUUUAACCUUUUACUUUCUAAGUUUUUAUAUUAUAUGCAACACUGAAUUUUGCUUGAUUUCAGAUUUUCUUAGGUCUUUUUGAUUUGAUUGUCUUUUGAAUCUGAUUUGGUACUACCAUUUUAAAAUAAUCUUUAAGCUUUUUCUUUCUUAUAAUCUUUUUGCGGUCUGAAUUCUGUAGAUCUAAUGUAUUUAAAUCUAUUUUAACAGACGAGUUUUGUGAUACAAUUCUUGUGUCAUCUUGAAUUAUCUCCUUGGUUAAAGUUGAAAGUUUGGGACAAAUUAUUUCCUCCGCUGCUAAAGGUGUAAGUUUUUCUACUUCUGAAUGAACACAGAAUUUAUAAAUGAAGAUUAGCUUCUUUUUUUUCCUUGUGAGGCAUAAGAGCACCAACUCAAAAUGGUAUCAAAUUAUGGAAUAAUGAGUUCAUAUUGAAAUAGAAUUUAUAAAUGAAGAUUAGCUUCAAAUUAUUUCCUCCGCUGCUAAAGGUGUAAGUUUUUCUACUUCUGAAUGAACACAGAAUUUAUAAAUGAAGAUUAGCUUCUUUUUUUUCCUUGUGAGGCAUAAGAGCACCAACUCAAAAUGGUAUCAAAUUAUGGAAUAAUGAGUUCAUAUUGAAAUAGUUUGGGGUUAUAUUAUUUUGUGAAAUUCGAGAAUUUGUGAUUUUUUCUUCAGUAUGGUAUAUUUAUACUCCUGAAUUCAUGUGAUGUUUAUCUAUCAAGAAUGUUCAGCGAUUUGAUUUUCAGCUUUCAACAUCGCCCAAUUUGGGAGAAUAGCCAUUAACUUGAGGCACAUACAAGUUAAUAAGAAUUUAAUUGGUGAUUUGAACAUGUGAUUGCAUAAAGCUAAAUCAUUAUUUAAGCAAAUAAUGCAUUUCACUAUUGUGCAUUCCUGGUUCUGCUUUUUAGUUGUGCAUUAUGCAAAGCAUGUGAUUGAUGAAAGUUGUCAAGAUAAAUUACAUGGUUAGGUCAUGUUUAUUGUGAAGCAUAAGCAACAAUAAAGAUAAAGAAUAAGGAAAGAAGAACUCCCACAUUAUUUUUUUGUAAAGAUCCCUUCAAUUUAUUCUUUUUAAAUUAUUUUGGUACAUGUACCUGAUGAAAAAAUAGAAAAGAAUAAAAGUGAUUUAGAUGGAAAUAAUCAAUCUGUCACAUAGCUGUUGUCCAUGUCUCGGUAUUAUCUUAAAGAUAUGUACUUCGUGAUUUUUCAAUACUUAUUGUAUGUAUGAAUAAUCAAUCCGUCACAUAGCUAUUUUUUUCAUUGUCAAAAAAGAAGAUGUCUUUUUUGAAUUUUAUGACAGGGUAAAUUGAACAGUUAUUGUAUGUAAUAAGAUGAUAUCUUUAAGAAUAUUAUUAGUUUCAGUUUGACCAAUAGUAGAAAAUGAAAGUGAAAUAAUCACAUUUAGAUUGAUCAAUUACAGGAAUGAAGAUGUCUAAAUAGAUUUGCAUAUUAGUUAUAGGCUUUCAUAAAUUUCAAAGUUUCGGCUCUCUUGAAUUUGUAUAAAGAGUAGCCCUACUAUCACUUAAUUUCUUUUUUUCAUGAAGGUCUUAAUUUAGCCACUCCUUUUGUUGUUUCUAUAAUAUUGGUAAAAUCAGUUAUGUCUGUGUCACUCUCAACAUUUGUAAAUCUGUUAGAAUAGUUUAUGUUAGAUCUUUUUAGUUAGAGCAUGAAGAGAAUAAUAAGUUGAUAAAAUACAUUUUAUGCAUUGUUGAUAUUAGAUUGAAUGCUUCAUGAUUUAUUGACACUUAUUUUGUUGGUAAAACUUAAUCCUCCACAUUGAAUAGAUGUGAUAGUCUAGUUUGGGGAGAUGACCAAAAAAUCAAAUAAAAAAUAAUAAGUUUGACGAAUCAAUAAUGUUUUAUUCAGACAUAAAUUUUUGAAACUAGGUUGUUCUUUUUAUUCUCAAAACAGACAUUGUUUCUUUCUGCCCAAAUGGUGUAAGGAAUGCAUAGGGAAAUGAUCCUCUAAAGUUGUUUCUGGGAUUUUAAUAUCUUUUGCCCUAGCUAGAAGUUAUAUGGGAAUGUUUAAAGUAUGAGAUGGUACUCCAAUAUCUAAAAAUAGUGAUUUAUGGAGUAUUUAAUUAGUGAAACAUUUCAGAAUUAGGAACAUAUGUUGUUCGAUGAUCCUUAAAAGAUGUAAUGGAUAUUUGCUUUCUUAAUAAUUUAAGCGAUGUAGGAGAGUAAAGUUGUAUGUGCCAAGUUGCAGAGAGUACUACUAAUGACUAAGUGUUGAGGUUUCAUUUCCAUCUGUGUAAUGUUUGCCUAUAGGUUUUAUGUUUUACAAAAUACACUUCAAGUAUUUGUUUUACAUUUGUUUGAAUAUUGGUUUUUUGAGUGAGUGGCUAAAUCUUUAUUGUGUUAAUAGUAAAAUUAUUUAACUAAUCUUUUGUCGAUCUUCGUAGUUUUUCUUAAGUGAAUUUACUUUACCUUUUUUUUUUUACAGAAUUUGAAGAUUUACAAGUCAAGAUGAGGUUUCGACGGCCACAUAUGAGCUAACAAGAUGAUAACCAUUUUGUUAGGAUUGUUAAGAUUUUUUUAUAUUGUUUGGCAUGGAUGUCAACUAUUUUGUUAAAGAAUUAUGUAAACACUACAGGCAUUUGUAUAUAUUUCCAUACUCUCUUAGUAAUGGAAUGUUAAUCUAUUUUUUAGUGAAUUACAAAAUAUAUACGAACGAA